AUAAAAGCUAUGACAAAGAACAAGUAAGAAAAACAGAAGUUCUUAACAGAAAGUAACCGGUUGAUGAGAGGUGCAAAGAACGGUUUUUCUGAAUUCAUCUUAUGAGCUGCCCUUUGAACAGAUUUUUUAAUCUAAUUAGAAGGCGCCGGGGGCUUCCGUUAAAAAUGUAAAGUAUUUAUAUAAUAUUAAUUUAUAUAGAUACUUAUUGAGGUUAACAGUGCAAACUGUUAAUAAACUUAGGUGGUAACACGGUUAUUAGAUCGUCCUUUGA
This is a non-coding RNA of 271 nucleotides. It matches the Rfam family "T-box leader". From Rfam's summary of the family: Uncharged tRNA acts as the effector for transcription antitermination of genes in the T-box leader family. T-boxes are found upstream of many aminoacyl-tRNA synthetase genes and some amino acid biosynthetic genes usually in Gram-positive bacteria.